UGAACGCUGGCGGCAGGCCUAAUACAUGCAAGUCGAACGGCAGCACAGCUUAAGCUUGCUUAAGUGGGUGGCGAGUGGCGGACGGGUGAGGAAUACAUGGGAAUCUGCCCAGUCGUGGGGGAUAACGUAUGGAAACGUACGCUAAUACCGCAUGCGCCCUACGGGGGAAAGCCGGGGACCUUCGGGCCUGGCGCGAUUGGAUGAGCCCAUGUUCGAUUAGCUAGUUGGCGGGGUAAAGGCCCACCAAGGCGACGAUCGAUAGCUGGUCUGAGAGGAUGAUCAGCCACACUGGGACUGAGACACGGCCCAGACUCCUACGGGAGGCAGCAGUAGGGAAUAUUGGACAAUGGGCGCAAGCCUGAUCCAGCCAUGCCGCGUGAGUGAAGAAGGCCCUCGGGUUGUAAAGCUCUUUUGUCCGGAAAGAAAAGCAUUCGGUUAAUACCCGGGUGUUCUGACGGUACCGGAAGAAUAAGCACCGGCUAACUUCGUGCCAGCAGCCGCGGUAAUACGAAGGGUGCAAGCGUUACUCGGAAUUACUGGGCGUAAAGCGUGCGUAGGUGGUUUGUUAAGUCUGAUGUGAAAGCCCUGGCUUAACCUGGGAAUGGCAUUGGAUACUGCCAGCUANAGUGUGCANANGGUANUGGAAUUCUGGUNUANCANNNAAAUGCNUANAAUCANGAAGAACAUCCUNNCNAAGGNACUNCUUNNCCACACUUNCNCUU
Molecule: ribosomal RNA, 722 nt
Filed under: benzene-decomposing bacterium S2
Lineage: Bacteria
Description: partial 16S ribosomal RNA
Rfam family: Bacterial small subunit ribosomal RNA
Source: RNAcentral